Molecule: ribosomal RNA, 235 nt
Filed under: Pseudomonas protegens
Lineage: Bacteria; Pseudomonadati; Pseudomonadota; Gammaproteobacteria; Pseudomonadales; Pseudomonadaceae
Description: partial 16S ribosomal RNA
Rfam family: Bacterial small subunit ribosomal RNA
Source: RNAcentral
CGCAACGCGAAGAACCUUACCAGGUCUUGACAUCCUUUGACCACCUAAGAGAUUAGGUUUUCCCUUCGGGGACAAAGAGACAGGUGGUGCAUGGUUGUCGUCAGCUCGUGUCGUGAGAUGUUGGGUUAAGUCCCGCAACGAGCGCAACCCCUAUCUUAUGUUGCCAGCACUUUGGGUGGGAACUCAUGAGAGACUGCCGCAGACAAUGCGGAGGAAGGCGGGGAUGACGUCAAAU